GAAGAGAGCGUGGGAACUGCAGAAGGCUUACUACAGAAACCCCAGCCUCGAGCGAGGAGAUGCUGCCAUGGGCUUCAGGCUCCUCUGCUGUGUGGCCUUUUGUCUCCUGGGAGCAGGCCCAGUGGAUUCUGGAGUCACACAAACCCCAAAGCACCUGCUCACAGCAAUUGGACAGCGAGUGGCACUGAGAUGCUCCCCUAGGUCUGGAGACCUCUCUGUGUACUGGUACCGACAGAGCCUGGACCAGAGCCUCCAGUUCCUCAUUCAGUAUUAUAAUGGGAAUGAGAGAGAAAAAGGAAACAUUCCUGAAGGAUUCUCAGGACAACAGUUCCCUAACAUGAGCUCUGAAUUAAACCUGAGUUCUUUGGAGCUGGGGGACUCUGCUUUGUAUUUCUGUGCCAGCAGCAUAGCACAGCCCUGCGUGAGCAUUGGCCUUCUGUGCAAUAACAUUCCUGUCCCACUCAGGAAGUGACAGUGAGGGGAGUGCUGCCAGCCAGAGGGGCUCAGGCCCUGGAGAGUGGAUAUGCCUUUCCCAGACACUCUCUGGAGCUUCUGUACAUGCCCUGGUUUAAUGCUCAUGGAAACUGUGUAAGUUAAGUAUUAUUUUACCUGUUUACAUAUCUGAGGAACAGCAGAUGUCCUGGGGCUCAUAUUUAAUAGCUAGCUAAAGUCUGCUCUUUCCAUACCUCUGCACUGUCCCCCCACACUCCUUAGAUCUGUCCUUUGGCCUGGUGUCCCCUUUCAUGUCCCCAUGAGCAGAAUAUGAAGGUCAUGCAUUAUGCUGUGAGCAUUAUAACUUCUCCCCUGACAAGUCCAAUGAACACGUGAUUCCCAGGCAAAACAUAUCCAUUUAUUCUUUAUUGUGAUUUUAAAAGGCGGGGGAGCAGUUUUCUGCACUGUAGCCAUCCUAUGGGCAAGGCUGUGUGAUCUCUUUUAUGGAGACUGUAUGAGGAGGGAGCUUUCCUAGGUUCACAACAAAGAGCGUUAAAUGGUUUUUAUGGGAAGUGUAGUCUUCCUGUGCCUGAUGCAAUCUACUGUCAGGGAAAGUACAUGAAAAAUUGUUAUGCAUUAGUUAAUAUUUUUUUUUGAAACAGAGUCUCGCUCUGUCACCCAGGCUGGAGUGCAAUGGUGCGAUCUUGGCUCACUGCCACCUCCACCUCCUGAGUUCAAGCAAUCCUCCUGCCUCAAGCUCCUGAGAGCAGGGACUACAGGUGCAUACCACCAUGCCCAGCUAAAGUUUGUAUUUUUAGUAGAGAUGGUGUUUUACCAUGUUGGCCAGUCUUGCAGAGAUUUUAGAGAGGUAAGUUUAAAAAGAGUCAUAUAAAGUGUAGGUUCAAGAAAUCUUAGGACCCUAUACAUUCUCUGCCAAAUCUCCAAUCUAGCAGUUACUUACUCUGUGAAAUUCUGGUAACAAAGGCAGACACAUAUUACUUUUGCCUGAUUCAACUACGUUUCAGACACAGUCAUCUAAAAGUCAAAUAUGGUAGUCUGAUAGUUCAUUAGGUAAAAUUAAGAUAAAGAAUCGCCAAUUAAGGAAAUAUGACAAUGUUACCCCUUAUGAACUUCCUGCUUGAUAACUGAGUCCGACAUGCAUGAAGGUGUGGUGCUCCCAGAAAGAUACGGCUUCACUGUGAUUGGCCAUCACGCAAGAGAGCUUAUAGAAGAAGGCACAGCCUUAUUGGAAAGAACACCAUAGAGAAGCCUCUAGUGCUUCCAUCACAUCCUCUCCUCCCAUCUCUGAUUUCAGCCUUGCUGCCAUGUUCCCAUUUCACCUCUUGCUGACAGUGCCCCUCCACAGUGCCUCCUUGAAAUGUUGCUGCUUCCUACUCUGGGGCUUUCUCUGAUAUUAUCUGAGACCACUUGGGCUGUACUCAAAGACAGCCAGAGAUCCUGAUGCUCCUGGUGGAACUGGACAGGGGAACAAAAGCUCCAACCUGCCCACUCAUGCAGGAACUCCAGAGAGCAUCUUGUGUGCUCUUGGAGGUCCCAAUGGAUUCCAUCUCCUCUUGCCCCAGCACAACACAAUAUUGGUCUUUUGUCCUGGUUUAUUCAUUCCUUAUUUUGUUUUCCUGCUCUCUUACUUUUUCUUGGAAUCAUUUCCCAAAUAAGCUACAUGCACCCAAGCCUCCCUGUCACAGACUUUGUCUUCAGAGACGGCCUGAUCUGUGGCAGUGAUGGAAUGAAGCAACCAUCCAAAGACCCUUCCUUUUGAAGGAGACCACUGUUUUUCUUUUAUACAUAUGGUUACUGAUUCGUUUAAAAAGUCUUACGAUGAUGUAUAUAAACUAAUCUUUUCCAGGUUCAUUUGGAUUCAUCAGACAUUCCCAGCAUUCUCAGGAUGGCUCUCUGCUCCCUUAAAACUUUGAACCUAUUUUGAACUGAAUGAACUUGGAUUCUGUUUACAGCAGUAAAAUCUGCCUGGACUCAGAUAAUCAUUCAUUCCUUUCUUCAUUCAGUCAACAAACAUUUAAUGGGUUAUAGGUGAAGAGUAGAUUCAAGUUUUGUGGGGCACAAAGCUGAUAUAUUUUAGGUAGCUCUUUGCAAAAGAGAAUGCAAAAUUGCAAAGUGUUGUAAAGAUCUGUGCAAGGGAGAUGCCCUGAGGUUAUUCUUCAUUGGCUUUAUGUUAACUACAUAGGUACUGUCCAGGUACUGGGGAAACACCAGUGCAAAAAACAGACAAAGCUUCAAGUUGAGGUAGACAAUUUUAACAUGUAAUUAUUAUAAUUUAUUAUACUAAAUAAUAAAUUAACUUAAAAGUAGAAGGAUAUAUUUACCUGAUAGGUGCUUAUCUCCCCAGAGAAGAUAGAGUGUUGUUGAGAGCACUGACAUUCUUGGUAGAUCACACCUGAUUCAGGGAAUGAUCCUUAAAGCUCUGGAAAUCUAUGUGCCCUCCCUUGCAAAAUGAAGGUCUUGAUCUGAAAAGCCUUUUUUGUUGUUGUUCCUGCCCUGGCUCCACCAUGAGGACUGGCUCCUUUGCUGUGUGACUUUUGGUCCCCCAGGACCAGGUGAGUUCUGGGCAUAGAUGGGAACGUCCUUCCUGGGCUUGCCAGGCCCCAGCCACGGCCUCCCUUGGGGCUACUCAUGGGUCUCCUCCCCGUCUCCACUUCUGAUUCUGUGUCCUUUCCCACUGGAGUAUGAUUGUGGGAAUUACCCAACCAGGUUACAUCAAGAUGUGCAAUAGAUGAUCUAUUGUAUCUGAAAUAACUAUUGCAGUGCUAUUGACUAGAUGUGAGUUUUGCACCAUAGCACAUUUAUGAAUCCAUCAACCUUCUCCCAUUAGGUGAGCACAAGAUCUUCUGGAUAGAAACAGAGCAUAUCCCUGUGACCCUAGAGACUCCAGAUAGGUGCAGUUACUGGUGAAUAUUUCAUCCACAUUCCUAAUGAGCCUCCUCUUUUCUUCGUAGUAAGUACAGUCACUCAGGAGAUUUAGGUGCAGUGUUUGUGGCUUCACCUGAAGCAAAGGGAAAAAUCCCAUGAGAACACAUAGCAGCCUGGGCUCAGACAGUGAGGCUCCUAUCAGGUAUAAUGAGGUGCUACAGUAAGAAACAAGUCUUCAAAUGGUAGUGACCCUGAACCUGAAACUUGGAAACCUUUCUGGAUGUCAGGUGACCCUUUUAACGAAGGGUAUCCCUGUAGGCUGAAUACGAGUAUCCAGAGGUUAAACAAAGAGGAAAAUAAUUCAACUUGGAGUUGAAUUUCGGGCAGGGAAGUCAUAAAAGACACCAGGACUGCUAUGACAAUGUUCUUCAGACUACAGAAACAUUCACAAAACUGAAAGUAGUAUUCAAAUAAAGAAUUUCUCAUGAUAGAAAUAAAUAUACAUAGAAGAACAAAUUCCCCUACUAAAAUCAUGGAAAGAGCUCAUGAGUUUAUAAGAUUUCUUUCAAAACAGACCUAAAAAUUAUUCAACUCUAUUAUACAUGAUUUGUUCUGUGAGGAGAAGGGGCGUGACGGGUUAGCCCUGCAGUUCACCCACUUAGCAGGGCCAGUGACAUCAUCCAGUCACUGAGAUCCCAACUUCAAUUUGCCCACAGCAGGGCUGGAAGACACAAGAUCCUGCCCUGGAGCUGAAAUGGGCACCAGGCUCUUCUUCUAUGUGGCCCUUUGUCUGCUGUGGGCAGGUGAGGGCUGGUCACAGGAGGGCCUCCUUCCCUGGAAUUCCCAAGGCUUCCAUGCAAGCUUUUCUGUUGGGAUGACAA
This is a non-coding RNA of Callithrix jacchus (white-tufted-ear marmoset), 4199 nucleotides long. The record is from the annotation of a RefSeq genome assembly. Lineage: Eukaryota; Metazoa; Chordata; Mammalia; Primates; Cebidae.